This is a long non-coding RNA of Canis lupus familiaris (dog), 5361 nucleotides long. RefSeq lists it as uncharacterized. Lineage: Eukaryota; Metazoa; Chordata; Mammalia; Carnivora; Canidae. The transcript is spliced from 2 exons. The record is from RefSeq and is a predicted model, not a curated record.
CCUGCCAUAGGACAGGCUGAGGCUGAGUCUCAGUGUUGCCCUGUUCAGUCUGAGGCAAGUGGGAUUUAUUUUAUUCCUUAUAGGGGCUUUCACAGCUUUAUGGCUGUUGGAUAUUUAUGUCCCCAAACUUGCAGCAAGUUUGGUGAAGGCCCCUAAAUUUAAUUAAACUUAGGAUUUUUAUACUCUUUUGGCAGAGAAGGCUCUAUAUUAAUAUUCACGUUUGACUGUGGUGUUAAUAAAAAGUAUUUGAUAUAUGUAAUCUUACGUAAUUUAUUUUGUGUUAACAGCCUCAGUAUAGCUGGUACUGCUAUAUCAAUCUUUAGUAAUUUGACAAAAUUUGACAUUCUUGAUUUGGAGGCAUGAAAUGUUUUGUUCAAAUUUUCCACUUUCACUUUUAGGAAAAAGUUACUAGACGUUUUCUUCUCAAACUAUUAAAUUUAACUUCAUGGAUAAGUUUGAUCAUUGGAAAUACCACAGGAUACUGAAAUCUGCAUUUUUAAUCCCAAAGUUAUGCAUUGAACAUUAAGGUUGAAGGGUCAUGUGGAAAUGCUUGUGAUUUUUAAUAUUUUCAAACUUCACCACAUUAGAGCAAAUGUUAAUGUAGAGCCCUUGUGAAGAGUGGGAAGGUGGUGUGUGGUAUGUAUGCAUAUACACUACACAUUUGAUAAGAUAAAAGGAUAAUUAAAGGGUUUGGGAAUUGCAGACCUGUCAGUAUGGCUAGAUUACUAAUUUUCAGGUAAUCAAACAAAUAGAAUCAUAAAUGUAAAGCUAGUACAUUGAACUGUGGUUUUGGAAUAAUCGUUUUGAGGUUCAUUUUCAGCCUUGCUGAACGAUGUUUUAGGCAAUAUGCACACAUGAAAAGUAUCCACAUAUGAUUCCAACUAAAAUUUGCUUUUAUCUGGUGAGAAACGUGUUUAUGUGUGUGUGUUGUGGGAGGUAAAGAAGGAAAUGGAAGAUAGCCCAAAACAUAAACCUGGUUUACUUUUGUUCCUUCCUGUGUUUAAGCGACACAUCUGUUCUAUCCAGAUUGCAUUUGCUUUUGAACAGUAACAGUGUGUAGGUACAGUGUUUAGCUAACCCAGGAUUGUUUUCUAUGUGGUUUUAAUUCUUGAAUGCAUAAUGAAGAGAAGUGUACAUUAAAUGAAUUCCAAAUUUUCACCUGUACAAUUAGAACAUAGGAUUUUCUCUGUAACUGAAUCAUGGAAAAAAGAUCUUAGUAUUUGAAAAAAAAAAUUUGUUACAGCAAAAGAAUAUAUUUAUAACCUGUUUGGCAAUUACAGCUUGAGUCUCCUUAAUUGGAGAUGUUUUCUAUUGAAUCUACCAUCACCCAAUAUGGUGAAAUAUUCAAGAGUGAGGCUGCUUGUCUUGAUUCUAAUAAUUAGAAUUGAAAAUAUUGAAAUAGGGUGAAAUAAUUGAAAUAGUUUGAAAUAAUUAAAAUAGGCUUACAUGCACACUUGAGUACUGGGAGUUGGAGGGAUUUUCUAAGAGUGGCAUAAUUUGUUAAUUUUCUUGAUACCUCUGAAGUAGUAUGAUUUUGAGAAUUACAAAACUUUCAGGUGUCUGUCCACUUCCACUGGUAAACUUCGUAAAUGAAAGGAAAUGUUGAACUAGCUAUCUUACAGAGAUAACAUUUUGUUUUGAGUAAAUGGAUACUUGUAUUGGUUAGGAGAUAAAAAGCAUUUAAAAUAUAAAAAUUUUGUAUAAAUCAGGUAUGUCUUUUAAAGAGGCAAUAUUUCAUUAAGUAAUCAUUGUAUGUUAUUCUAAAACAAAGUCGGCUUUCUCUUACUGUAACUUUUAUGGAAAACUCUUGUAGAAGGAGGGAUUCAGUUAUAAGACUAUUCACUCUAAGGCAGGUUUGUAAGUAAACGCUUCCCCUAGUUACACUUCUGCUUUGCUGUCUCAUGACUUGAAUAUUAGUAAAGGUUACUCCCCCCUCCCUUUUUUUUUCUUUUUUUUUACCCUUUCUCAGUAUUUUGUUUUCUGUCAUCUGAAUCAUUUUAAUAAAUGACUUUUUGUUUUUCUAGCAUAGAAAUCCUUUAACUUCUGUGUGAUAUUUCUUGGCAAAAUUGAGAAGCAGUUACUUUAAUGAUGUACAUAGUGGUUAUUCGUAAUUUUGUGAUUAAUGUUGAAUUUUCCGAACAAUACUUUUAAUAAAAUAUCUUGCUGUUAGGCAUACCCUAUCAUGGGAUGUAAAUCAAACAAAUGCUUAGGAAAUGGGAUACAGGACUUCAGUUUGAGCUCCCAAAUACUUGAAAUAUCUCCCAACUUUUCCCCAGUGUCUUCAUGUUAAUACUUGGCAUUUUUGUUGAGAUAUAGUAAGUUUGAAAGUAGCAUUUAAAAAAAGAUUUCUUUAAUAAAGGUCAGAAGAGAAUUGCUUUUUAUAAGCAUUGUUUAUUCUGCUCUGAGCUGUAUACAUUCUUGUAUAAUAAUUUGGCCGUAAAGGGAAGAGCCUUUCAUUUUCCUAAUUCUGGAAAAAUAAUAGCUUGAAACUAUAUGAAUUUGAAUAUUUUGAAGCAUGUCUUUAAAUCUGUUCAAUUAAGCUCAUGUAUCCUCAGGGAAAUAUCUUUAUUUUACUAAUAAGCAGGAUGUAGAAGUCAUAUUAAGGCAGAAACUGAAGACCUAAAGGAACUCUUCACUGAAGCUAAUUUGAACUAUUACUAUUUGAAGCAAAUUGAAUGCUGUAUUAUAAAUCAAGACUGUUCAUGAUUAGGUUCAUUAGGAGGCAUAUAAUCAGCUAUAAUAGAAUAUGUGUAUAUGUUUAAUCUUGAUCAAAUUAACUACAGAGAAGAUACAUGUGAGUAAACUACUUUAAUGAUUGAUAACUUGGACCCCAUUUAUUAAUUCUAAAUGCUGUAAUGUUGUGUAAGGUCGUCUUACGGCACAGCUUCAGUAAUGUGCUUGUGUUUGGCCAGGGGUUUGUGUAAUGUUGUAUAAAGAGGGGAAGGCCUUUUCUGGAAUUCUCUUGACCCCUUUGGCAUUCUUACGGCGUCUGGGUUUUUGUGGGGAUUUUUUUUUUAUUUUUUUAUAAACCAUUAAUAAUAUUAAAGAGUCUGUAUGCCUUCAUCUUUGGUUAAAUUUGAGAGGAGCUGGCAGUGAAAUUUUUGAUGCCCAACUUGGAUAAAAAUGAAUGUUUCUUCAGUUUACUAUACACCAAUAUUAUUUGAGGGGAGAGGUCAUUAGGUAAUGUUGUUAGGCCUAAGAACCUUAAAUGUAGCGAAAGGUAACAGCAUUCUUGCUCCUGGUUUGCAUUUGUGAUUAAGGUUUCACUAAAUCAUUUAUUAUAACUAACGUUACUUUUAACAUUUUGUUCAUAAAUAUUUGAGCAAUCAGAUGAAAAUAAAAUUUGCAGCAUCAUUUCCUUUCUCUACUAAUAAAACAAGGCUGCUUAACCACCCAAGUGAGCCAAGGGAAGAGUUAAUGAGGUUUCUAUAGCUUUGAGUUCUAAUAGUAGGGGGCAUAUAUUUAUUAAGCAAAGCCUCCCUUUUAGUUACUAGUUUAUUAAUAUACGUCAGGAGAAGCAGAUUUACUUUUCAGCCCAUGUUUUAAAUCUCAUAAAAGAAAAUGAAAUCGAGUGUUUUGAAAAUUUAAUUUUAAACAAUUAAAAAUUGGUUUCCUCUAUAGAGUAAGUCUGCACACACUUAAAUUUAGAAAUUACCAUGUUGAAAUUUUUUUCCCCAGAUACAUGCCCCUCUUUUUUUUUAGAGGAACCAAAAUUUCCAUAUAAUAUACAUACAGGAAUUACAUAGUUUAUUAAAAGUGAGGUGUGUCCAAGAGAUAUACAGCGUUCUUAAGUCAUUCUCAAAAAGGUCACUUUAAGAGCCAAUGUAAGGUAACUUUUGUAAAACUUAGGGAAAAAGUUUAAAAUGUAUUAAUAUCAGGUUCUGAGGAAAUUUAAUGCACAUUGACUUUUUAAAACUAUGGAUUGAACUCCUCAGUUUAAUACAAUUUGUGUUUUUGUUAACUAGCAGCAGAAUUUCAGCAUUUGCUACUUACUGGUAGAGAAGAAAAAUCCCACAGCCCUGCCAGUACAGUUUAAUCUGUAUAAGAAAUGGCGUAUAUACAGUGGAAAUGGUUUUCCUUAAAACCAUCUCUAUAAAGCUGCCUUUCUGGUAAGUAUUAUUUUAUCCUUAUAUGUCACAAUUUUUCCUUUUAAGUUUUAACUGAAAUGGGCUACUGAUCAAAGAAGUGGGCAAUCUGAGUUUUUACACUCUAAAUAAUAUCCGAAUUGGCAUUUAUUUUAGAAGUUGAUUAUUUCGCCUCCUGACGUUUUCCUAAUAAUCCACGAUCACUUUUCUGACUUCCACUUAGUCUGUAACUGCAAAACCUUUUAACAUACUUUUUUUUUCUUUCGGUGGGAUGGAAAAAAUGUUUUCACUCAAAACCAGUGGUUUUUAAAAAUGUUUUUAAGCUUGAUUUUCUUUUUAGCUGACAACCGAAAGUUUGGUCUCAAUGCUUUUGGUUCUCAAAAGAUGUACAGGUGUAAAAUUUAAAUAUCAGAAUUUGUCUCUUUGUGAAGCUGUUGUUGCAGUGAUUCAUGAGCGAUUAAAGCUGAGGGUAGGCUUGAAGGAGGACUUGCCUGAAAUGCUCCUGCAGACUAAUGCCUACAGAAUUAUCUCUGAAUGAGGCUUGAAAAUUUCAAGUGAAUCUUUAAAUCUUUCUAACCUUGCAUGAAAAACAUGGGUUAGAAAUACUGGUUUCUGGGACCGUGUAUACCAGUGGGAAUUAGCCUCUGUGUAUAUUUUAAAUUUACGCCCUGUUUAGUACUUUCCUUCAGAGUGAUACAUGGAUUUUAUUUAUUUUAUUUUAUUUUAUUAUUAUUAUUAUUAUUAUUAUUAUUUUUUGUCUCCAGUCUUUAGCCAUAUUCUAGCUGGUGUCAAUAUAAGCUAAGGAUGUUUUCAACCACUGAGCCACCCAGGCAUCCUCUAAGGUUUUCAAAUUGUAUUUCUUGCUGUGAUGUUCAUAAACCAACAAUGAAUAGUAAACUCUUAAUGCUUUUUAGUAUGGAAAAUGAUAGUCUUCUGAAAAUUGAUAUUUUGAGUAUGUGAUAAUGGUGAUGUAUUCUUUUAGAUAAACACUAAACAAAGUGUGGACCCUCAAUUUAUGUCUUUAAGAUUUAAAGUGAAGUAAAUUUCUAAGGAAGUCUGUCCUUUCCUAGCAAGGAUAAGCAGACAUUGAAAAUGUGGUAAGUAUGUAACUCUAAAUGCAUGUAAUAGUGGUGAGAGUAUGUAGCCAAAUUUCCAUAGUUUAAAAUAAUGCUUAGACAUGAACAAGAAUUCUCAAAUUUCCUUUGCGACUUAAUGUAUGUGUGUCUAGCAUUUUUACAAAUUUGUGUGCACAAUGAUUAAAUUGAAAUGUACCUUA